Molecule: long non-coding RNA, 695 nt
Organism: Chinchilla lanigera (long-tailed chinchilla)
Lineage: Eukaryota; Metazoa; Chordata; Mammalia; Rodentia; Chinchillidae
Exons: 3
Source: RefSeq, a predicted model, not a curated record
UGGCUUCCUUCUGGAGGACCCAGUAACAAGGCAUGGGGCCUGAGCAGACACGGAACCUGCCAGCACUGAUCUCGGACUUGGAGGACUUCGAGGAACUGAAUUGCUGGACUAGACAAGACACACUGUCUACCAAUCAGACCACCCCUCCAUGGCCCACCACGGCUUGGGGUCCUUGAGAGAAUUCUGUAACCUGCGAUUAGGACCUCUGCCCCUACUCCUUCCUCCAGCUGCGCUUGAGACACACGCCGAUGGGUACAUUUGGGAUGCUGUCCUAGCCAUGCCGUAAACAACCACGUGCUGACCUUUUCGCUGCUCCUCUCUGGAGCGAUUUGUCAAGAUCAGGUUCACCCAGGAACGAAUUGCAGUGAUGUCUACAGAGUGAGUGCUGUGUGUCGGGGACCAGGCUGGGAGUUUUCCAUGGAUCCAGUUAGCACCACUUCUGUACUGCCAGCCCCAGAGAGAGCACCAAGCCCCACAUGAUAGGAGACCCCUGAGCCAGAGACCUGAUGCCUCCCUUUCCCCAGCCUCAGCCUGCAGAUCUGUGCUGCAGCACACGCAGGAGCCAGGUUUUGCAGGGUGGGGAGCAGCUCUGCUUCCAGGCAGCUGGAACCCCUUCAGGCUGGUGCAGGGAGUCAGCACCCGGCUGGCCCUCGCCCUGGCAGGCAGGCAGGCGUUGGGGGAGGAUGCCUCCUCCA